This 538-nucleotide ribosomal RNA is filed under the name uncultured bacterium. RNAcentral describes it as "partial 16S ribosomal RNA". It matches the Rfam family "Bacterial small subunit ribosomal RNA", at positions 355 to 883 of the family's 1533-position model. The record is from RNAcentral.
UGGGGAAUAUUGCACAAUGGGCGCAAGCCUGAUGCAGCCAUGCCGCGUGUGUGAAGAAGGCCUUCGGGUUGUAAAGCACUUUCAGCGAGGAGGAAGGUGGUGAACUUAAUACGUUCAUCAAUUGACGUUACUCGCAGAAGAAGCACCGGCUAACUCCGUGCCAGCAGCCGCGGUAAUACGGAGGGUGCAAGCGUUAAUCGGAAUUACUGGGCGUAAAGCGCACGCAGGCGGUUUGUUAAGUCAGAUGUGAAAUCCCCGGGCUCAACCUGGGAACUGCAUUUGAAACUGGCAAGCUAGAGUCUCGUAGAGGGGGGUAGAAUUCCAGGUGUAGCGGUGAAAUGCGUAGAGAUCUGGAGGAAUACCGGUGGCGAAGGCGGCCCCCUGGACGAAGACUGACGCUCAGGUGCGAAAGCGUGGGGAGCAAACAGGAUUAGAUGCCCUGGUAGUCCACGCUGUAAACGAUGUCGAUUUUGGAGGUUGUGCCCCUUGAGGCGNGGCUCCGGAGCUAACGCGUUAAAUCGACCGCCUGGGGGAGUAC